This is a small nucleolar RNA of Rhododendron vialii, 117 nucleotides long. RefSeq annotates it as small nucleolar RNA Z278. NCBI's taxonomy places the organism in Eukaryota, Viridiplantae, Streptophyta, Magnoliopsida, Ericales, Ericaceae. The transcript has a single exon. The record is from RefSeq and is a predicted model, not a curated record.
UUCUAUGAUAAGUUAUCCAUGUAUUUUGAGGUGUAGUUGCCUCAAGUCCCUGUUUUCAGGAUGAACCUACUUGGGGUUGCUACAUUCAAUUAUGAAAUUACUGGAUCUUUCUGAGAG